Molecule: ribosomal RNA, 405 nt
Filed under: embryophyte environmental sample
Lineage: Eukaryota; Viridiplantae; Streptophyta
Description: partial small subunit ribosomal RNA
Rfam family: Eukaryotic small subunit ribosomal RNA
Source: RNAcentral
GCUUGUCUCAAAGAUUAAGCCAUGCAUGUCUAAGUGUAAAUAAGUCUAUACUGUGAAACUGCGAAUGGCUCAUUAAAUCAGUUAUCGUUUAUUUGAUGAUCUCUUACUACUUGGAUAACCGUAGUAAUUCUAGAGCUAAUACAUGCACAAAAUCCCGACUUACGAAGGGAUGUAUUUAUUAGAUAAAAGGUCGACACGGGCUCUGCCCGUUGCUCUGAUGAUUCAUGAUAACUCGACGGAUCGCACGGCCAUCGUGCUGGCGACGCAUCAUUCAAAUUUCUGCCCUAUCAACUUUCGAUGGUAGGAUAGUGGCCUACUAUGGUGGUGACGGGUGACGGAGAAUUAGGGUUCGAUUCCGGAGAGGGAGCCUGAGAAACGGCUACCACAUCCAAGGAAGGCAGCAGG